Molecule: long non-coding RNA, 1180 nt
Organism: Heterocephalus glaber (naked mole-rat)
Lineage: Eukaryota; Metazoa; Chordata; Mammalia; Rodentia; Bathyergidae
Source: RefSeq, a predicted model, not a curated record
UGGGGUUGCAAGAUGCCUCUGUGACCUCACUGUGCCAUGGGCGUGGCCCGAGACAGCUGCAGGAGCUGCAAGCUGCUUGUCUUGUCUCACCUGGCUGGUCGCCGCAGCUUCACUUAUAUCUUUUUAUAUAAAAAUUCAUGAAUCAAAUGUUGGCAAGAUUGAGCAGCAAGGUUCUAGAGCCUUGUUUCUCCAGCCUGGCUGCAUAUUAGUGCCACCUGGGAGCCUUAGAAGAUAUUACACUUCAGUCUGAGCCCCACUAUCUUUCAUUUAAUUAUUGUAUGGUGUGGACUGGGAAUUGGGAUUUAAAACCUCCCCAGAUAAUUCUACUGUGCAGCCAAAUUUGACAGCCACAACUCUAAAUUUGCUCUGGGGCACCAUUUCAAAUUAAGAAGAGGAAAAAAUUUUUUAAACUCAAAUAAAAUAGGUAUAUGUGGCAUGGUCCUUAAGAUUGCCUGUACUGGACCAAAUUACCUGCUCCUCAGGAAGCCUUGUAGCUCAACUGACAUCAACUACAGAUGGUGCUACAGGAGCAGGUCACUGAGUGAGGAAGAAUGUCUCCAACAACCUGCCUUCCAGAGACACAGAGCCAUCAGGAAGCCAACUCAUCUGAGCAGUUCUCCAGAGGAAGGGAAAAGCAAGCAGGAUGCACUUUCCUGGUAAAGACCAGAGUCGACUCCCCAAGCCUGGCCUGCAGAAUAACUUUGCCCUGGAAGAUGGAAAUGCCCAUUUCAGAUGUGAAUUGCAGAGUGACAGAUGACUCAACCAUCCUAACAAACUAGAACAUGUGAGUUGUUAUCUUCAAAGUAAGCAGAAAAAGUGAAAAGAUGGAAGAGAAAAGCAUCACCAGGAGAGCCUAAAGCAACCAUUGUAGCUUUCAAGAUUAACAACUCAACUACCCCCAGAUCAUAAACAUCCAUCAUUUGAAUUGUCCAAGCCUGAAUCCCAGGGAAAGAAGAUGGUCCAGCUCUUCUUUUAGACUACUGGGAGCAGUUGAGAGUUGGGGAAAUAGCUGUUGAAUAUGAUGCGUUUUGGCUGGAAGAGAGUGAUUGAAGGCCUGAUCUACGUGGUGGUUCCAGUCACAUUUGCCUGUCAUCUCCAAAAUCCAAGCUCUGCAAUUGCCUUGACCACUUUCUCCUUCUUGAUCAUUCUCCAUUCCAAAGGAUGUUGGAAUUCAGUACAA